CAGAUAUUAGUUUAAAUAAAAUAUUAAUUUUGGAGAUUAAUGAAAAAAAAAUUUUUUUAUAUCUGA
This 66-nucleotide transfer RNA is filed under the name Gallerucida bifasciata. RNAcentral describes it as "tRNA-Pro". Lineage: Eukaryota; Metazoa; Arthropoda; Insecta; Coleoptera; Chrysomelidae. The record is from RNAcentral.